UUACUGUAAGAAUAAGCACCGGCUAAUUCCGUGCCAGCAGCCGCGGUAAUACGGAAGGUGCAAGCGUUAUCCGGUUUUAUUGGGUUUAAAGGGUGCGUAGGCGGCUUAUUAAGUCAGUUGUGAAAUCCUAGUGCUUAACGCUAGAACUGCAAUUGAUACUAUUAGGCUUGAGUUAAGAAUAGGUAAGUAGAAUUUAUGGUGUAGUAGUGAAAUGCUUAGAUAUCAUAAGGAAUACCAAUAGCGUAGGCAGCUUACUGGUCUUUAACUGACGCUGAGGCACGAAAGCGUGG
This 290-nucleotide ribosomal RNA is filed under the name Cardinium endosymbiont of Sepsis orthocnemis. Its description in RNAcentral is "partial 16S ribosomal RNA". It matches the Rfam family "Bacterial small subunit ribosomal RNA", at positions 475 to 764 of the family's 1533-position model. The record is from RNAcentral. Lineage: Bacteria; Pseudomonadati; Bacteroidota; Cytophagia; Cytophagales; Amoebophilaceae.